This 1428-nucleotide ribosomal RNA is filed under the name uncultured marine bacterium. Its description in RNAcentral is "16S ribosomal RNA". It matches the Rfam family "Bacterial small subunit ribosomal RNA". The record is from RNAcentral.
GAGUUUGAUCAUGGCUCAGAACGUACGCUGGCGGCACGCCUAACACAUGCAAGUCGAACGAAGUAGCAAUACUUAGUGGCAGACGGGUGAGUAACAUGUGGGUAUCUACCCUUUGGCCUGGAAUAACACGAGGAAACUUGUGCUAAUACCGGAUAAGUCUUUACGGAGAAAGCUUUAUGCACCAUUGGAUGAGCCCGCACUUGAUUAGUUUGUUGGUAGGGUAAUGGCCUACCAAGACUAUGAUCAAUAGCUGAUUUGAGAGGAUGAUCAGCCACAUUGGGACUGAGACACGGCCCAAACUCCUACGGGAGGCAGCAGUGGGGAAUCUUGCACAAUGGAGGAAACUCUGAUGCAGCGAUGCCGCGUGAGUGAAGAAGGCCUUUGGGUUGUAAAGCUCUUUCGUCGGGGAAGAAAAUGACUGUACCCGAAUAAGAAGGUCCGGCUAACUUCGUGCCAGCAGCCGCGGUAAUACGAAGGGACCUAGCGUAGUUCGGAAUUACUGGGCUUAAAGAGUUCGUAGGUGGUUGAAAAAGUUGGUGGUGAAAUCCCAGAGCUUAACUCUGGAACUGCCAUCAAAACUUUUCAGCUAGAGUAUGAUAGAGGAAAGCAGAAUUUCUAGUGUAGAGGUGAAAUUCGUAGAUAUUAGAAAGAAUACCAACUGCGAAGGCAGCUUUCUGGAUCAUUACUGACACUGAGGAACGAAAGCAUGGGUAGCGAAGAGGAUUAGAUACCCUCGUAGUCCAUGCCGUAAACGAUGUGUGUUAGACGUUGGAAAUUUAUUUUCAGUGUCGCAGGGAAACCGAUAAACACACCGCCUGGGGAGUACGACCGCAAGGUUAAAACUCAAAUGAAUUGACGGGGACCCGCACAAGUAGUGGAGCAUGUGGUUUAAUUCGAAGAUACGCGCAGAACCUUACCAACACUUGACAUGUUCGUCGCGACUCUAAGAGAUUAGAGUUUUCGGUUCGGCCGGACGAAACACAGGUGCUGCAUGGCUGUCGUCAGCUCGUGUCGUGAGAUGUUCGGUUAAGUCCGGCAACGAGCGCAACCCACAUCUUUAGUUGCCAGCAGGUUAAGCUGGGCACUCUAGAGAAACUGCCCGUGAUAAGCGGGAGGAAGGUGUGGAUGACGUCAAGUCCUCAUGGCCCUUACGGGUUGGGCUACACACGUGCUACAAUGGCAGUGACAAUGGGUUAAUCCCCAAAAGCUGUCUCAGUUCGGAUUGGGGUCUGCAACUCGACCCCAUGAAGUCGGAAUCGCUAGUAAUCGCGUAACAGCAUGACGCGGUGAAUACGUUCCCGGGCCUUGUACACACCGCCCGUCACACCAUGGGAGUUGGUUCUACCCGACGACGCUGCGCUAACCCUUCGGGGAGGCAGGCGGCCACGGUAGGAUCAGUGACUGGGGUGAAGUCGUAACAAGGUAACC